CCUACGGGUGGCAGCAGUGGGGAAUAUUGGGCAAUGGGCGCAAGCCUGACCCAGCAACGCCGCGUGAAGGAAGAAGGCUUUCGGGUUGUAAACUUCUUUUGUCAGGGAAGAGUAGAAGACUGUAUCUGUCGAAUAAGCCACGGCUAACUACGUGCCCGCAGCCGCGGUUAUGCGUAGGGGGCAAGCGUUGUCCGGAUAUACUGGGUGUAAAGGGCGUGUAGCCGGGUUGACAAGUCAGAUGUGAAAGCCUGCGGCUGAACCGCAGAACUGCAUUUGAAACUGUUGAUCUUGAGUACGGGAGAGGCAGACGGAAUUCCUAGUGUAGCGGUGAAAUGCGUAGAUAUUAGGAGGAACACCAGUGGCGAAGGCGGUCUGCUGGACAGCAACUGACGGUGAGGCGCGAAAGCGUGGGGAGCAAACAGGAUUAGAUACCCGGGUAGUC
Molecule: ribosomal RNA, 442 nt
Filed under: uncultured bacterium
Lineage: Bacteria
Description: partial 16S ribosomal RNA
Rfam family: Bacterial small subunit ribosomal RNA
Source: RNAcentral